ACUUAUUAGAUCUCGGUGGAUGCUCAAGUCUGGUGGAGCUCCCUUUUUCUAUUGGGAAUCUCAUCAAUCUAAAAGUAUUGAAUCUUAGCAGUUUAUCAUGUCUAGUGGAGCUCCCUUUCUCGAUUGGAAAUGCCACCAACCUUGAGGAUUUAAACCUUCGCCAAUGCUCAAAUCUGGUCCAGCUCCCCUUUCUCGACUUGGAACCUUCAGAAGUUGCAGACUUUGAACUUACGAGGAUGCUCUAAGCUAGAGGUUCUUCCGGCCAACAUCAAAUUGGGAUCUCUCAGGAAAUUAAACCUUCAACAUUGCUCAAAUCUGGUAAAGCUCCCCUUUUCUAUUGGAAACCUUCAGAAGUUGCAAACUUUGACCUUACGAGGAUGCUCUAAACUAGAAGAUCUUCCAGCCAACAUCAAAUUGGAAUCUCUUUGCUUACUUGAUCUCACUGAUUGCUUGCUGUUGAAAAGGUUUCCUGAGAUCUCCACAAACGUUGAAACUCUCUAUCUCAAAGGAACCACAAUAGAAGAAGUCCCUUCAUCAAUCAAAUCUUGGUCUCGUCUCACUUACUUGCAUAUGUCAUACAGUGAAAAUCUCAUGAACUUUCCUCAUGCUUUUGACAUCAUCACAAGGCUGUACGUGACCAAUACAGAGAUACAAGAGCUUCCCCCAUGGGUCAAGAAAUUCUCUCAUUUAAGAGAACUCAUUCUCAAGGGAUGCAAAAAGCUGGUAUCACUCCCACAGAUUCCAGAUUCCAUCACUUACAUAGAUGCAGAAGAUUGUGAGUCCCUGGAGAAACUAGAUUGCUCCUUUCACGAUCCAGAGAUUCGGGUCAACUCUGCUAAGUGCUUCAAACUGAAUCAAGAAGCCAGAGACCUCAUCAUCCAGACACCAACUAGUAAUUAUGCGAUCUUACCCGGCAGAGAAGUGCCUGCAUACUUCACUCACCAAUCUGCUACUGGAGGUUCCUUGACAAUCAAGCUGAACGAGAAGCCUCUUCCUACAUCCAUGCGGUUUAAGGCUUGCAUUUUGCUGGUUCGUAAAGGUGACGAUGAAAAUGGCUGCUAUGUUAGUUGUAAAAAAAGUAGGCAUUAUUUAUAUCCACCUUUAGAAGAGCAUAUGUACGUAUUUGAAGUCAAAGCAGAUGUGACUUCCAGCGAGCUUGUCUUUGAGUUCAAGAUCGACAGUACGAAUUGGAAGAUAAAAGAAUGUGGGGUAUUCCAACUCUCGGAGGUUCCUUGAUGAAUCUUCAAAAAGUGAUGUCUGAAACACCCUUGAUGAAACUGAAGUCUGUGGUGAAGUAAUGGAGACAUUUACUAAAAAGGUAAUCUAAUAUAAAUGUUGAUAGAUUUUGUACAAUGUUAAUCUCUUCUUUGAGGAUUGAAAUAUUACUUUACUUCAGUGGGCCACAUAAGAGGUGCUGUGUAUCUGCAACUUCUGUUUUUCUUUAUCUUCUUUAAUCCUCGAUCACUAUUAUUGAUCAUUUCAACUAUUUAACUCAUCUGUGAUAAAAUGAAAAACAAUUUGAAUUUUAACAGUGUACUGUAAUUUCAUCACAUGAACAAAUGUGGGAAAUCUUUCAGGACUUUUUGUUUGUUCGAUGAGUAUUACACAAAACUGACAUUCACAUCGAUUUUUUUUAUAUAGUCCGUAACAAACUAACAACUCUUUCAAGUAUUAAGAUUAAAAACUUUCAUCUAAUUACAGUUAGGUUUUUCGUCGGACGAUCAUCAUUCUUCGAUCCUAGAAGUUACGGUGAGCAGAGUAUCAUCAAGCCGCCCAUCAGGUGAUUAAACCUGAACUCUACUCUUAUUCAGAAUUACUAAGAAGAGCUUGAAAAAAGGAAUUUUCGCGUAAUACAUUAUACAUGUAUAUCUUUCUUUCUUCAGGCUGUCACCAACGUUAUGGAACGAUCAAAAACUAUAUGCUGCAGCCGUUAUGGAACGACCAAAAACCUUCUUUGCACCAAUGAUAACUCUAAGUCAACUGUUAUAUGAAAGUAUAGAUUUUUAAAGCUUUUAAUAAAGUGCUUUGAUUGCUUUUUGUUACUGACAUGAAGAUGUUGUUCUGUUUGGGAUGUAUAGAUAGUUCAAAUAAAGGAGUUGAAACUUCUCUCAGUCUAUGGUCUAAGAUCAUGGAACAGACAUGAACAGAUAGGUAAAAAACUCCAUCAACAGUUUUUUGGCUAAGUAUCCGAGCCUUGCCUCUGCAAACCCUCUUGUUUUUCUUCAGCUCUAGAUAUAUUCUCCUAAGCACUAAGCAGGUCUGAAACUAAUCUACUGUCAAUGAGUAUACUGAUGCUUGUCGACUCAACGGAGUAUACUAACCAAGUUUUUCAAUCUUCAGUAACUAUCCAUUUCACCUGACACAAAUCCGAGUGAUUAGUGGCCUUAGAAAACACUAAACCUUGAAAUGUAUGAGGCUUUUGUAACCAAAGUCAUGCAAUACGGGGAACCAACUCCAUAGUAUUAGAUGAUACCAACACUCUAAUACGAAAAACGAAGAGAGUCCAAAACCAAAAGAGUCAUUUUAAAACAGAGGGAGAGAGAGAGUGAUAAAAAAAAAAAAGAUUCAUUUUGGUGUGAGAGGAAUAGCUGUAUCGUCUCAAUUGUUUCUUCAAAAAUGGAUAAGUCUACCAAAUCCACCGUACCAUACUAAAUCGAUUGCAUUAAAACCAAAACGAAAAAAGCUUCAGUGAAACCAGAAGAUUAAUAUGCAUUUAUAAGAAAUUUGAGUGGUGUCAAAAAAAAAAAAAAAAAAAAAAAAAAGAAAUCUGAGUAAGUAAUUUACCAAAAAAAUAAAAGAUAUCUAAGCUAAAUGGGUGAACGACCUGUGUCCCCCCAGUAAGUUUCAUAUAGUACCAUAACAACACAGAUUUCGGGUCUCGUCUCCAGUCCACACAAAACGAAAGUUAAACUCCAGUUUCCCCCUAAAUUGAAAGUUCGAGACUUCAGUCUCCAUAGUUUCAAAUUUCGUGGUUUAUCUUCGGUUUACUGUGCCGAACCCGAUUAACCGCUUAACAUCGAAAUUAAACCGGAUUUACCCAGAAACCAAGCCGAUUAUUAGACCCAUUAAACCCGAUAAUCCCAAAAUCGUAAAAUCACCAAACUUCACAAACACACACACACAAAAUUCAAUUACAAAGUGAUCAAGAAAAGAUAUCAGUGAGCUCUACUAGUAAAUUAUACCUGAGGAUAACAAAUCUGAAUCCCUCCACGCAUUGAUUUAGGAGGUUUGAAUAUAGCCUAGCAAAUUUACAACCAAAUUUAAAAAUCAGAUUUUGGAUUUUCAGCUUCUUCACAAUGUAUUUGUAGUGUCUGCAUACCUCCAUGAAAUCACUUGUCCUCCAUGUAAACUAAUCUGGAAAACCAAAAAAUCAAAAACCCAAAUUGGUUUUAAAAAAAAGCUCGAAUUAUUCAGAGAAGAAGGUUGGAGAAAAUAGUGAAGACCUUGGCAGAAGCACCAUGUGGGUUUCUGAGAAGGACUUGGUCAACGCCAUUCCAAUCUUUGAUUAUCUCACUUGCUUCUUUUUGAUCCCACACUGUUGCGUAAUGACCCAUUUUCAAUUUCUUCUUCUUCUUCUUCUUCUUCUUUGAAUUUUCAGAAUCUCAAGAACUUAUUACACUGACAAAAAAAUUCUGAUUUUUGACAGCCAAAAAAAGAGCAAAAGAUAAGAAAAACGACAAAAGAGCUUUUUCUUUCUCACAAAAAUCUCAUGAACAUGGCGAUAGAAUUAUACUAUAAGAUCGAAAUUAGGGUUCUAAGAUUUCUCAAUUUGGGGAUAACUCGAAUCGGGUUCAAAAUCGGUUUAUUAUUCUGGGUUUUGGUUUGGCAUCGGGUUCGGCACAAUAAACCGAAGAUAAACCACGAAAUUUAAAAUUAUGGAGACUGAGGUCUCGAACUUUCAAUUUAGGGGGAAACUGGAGUUUAACUUUCGUUUUGUGUGGACUGGAGACGAGACCCGAAAUCUGUGUUGUUAUGGUACUAUAUGAAACUUACUGGGGGGACACAGGUUGUUCACCGAAGCUAAAUAAGCACAUUAUCGAGAUUCGAGAUGAAGAAAAAAAUCUAUUAUAUGACCAAAAAAAAAAUUGUUUAGAAAAAACUACUAUAAAAGGAGCAAAUAAUUUAUUUUUACCUUUCUCACUUUUAGCCUUUAUCUUGUAAUUGAAAGUUAACUUUGCAAAUAUAUGAAAGAUCUAGAAGAGUUGAUAAUUUUUUAAAAUAUAUUUUUGUGUAAUUUUCUUUUUUCAUAAUUUUUUAAUUAUAAAAAUCAACUUUAAGGAAUGAAAGAUGAUUUAAUCAUAAAUGAAAAAUCUAAAAAUGUAUUACGUAGAUUUGAAAAGAGAUGAUGAUGCAACAAAGGUAUUAAUAUAAAAGGUUUUGUACAAAAACACCCUCAAAAUCAUCAAUUUUUGUAACUUUACCCUCUACCUCCGAAGAAUGCAGAAUAAUCAUAUGAAGUCAAAAAUAAUACGCAAUAUAGCCCUUAUAAAUAUACUAUAAAAGUUUUCACGAUCACAUAAAUUUGGUUUUUCAAAUUUUAAGGGUAGAGUUGAAAUCCUCGUUUUGAGGGCUUCAAUUUGAUCUAUUAUUUAUCAAAAUUUAAAAAACUAGAGAACAGCGAAAAGGGGUUAUAUUGUGUAUUAUUUUUUGCUUCAUAUGAUUAUUCUACAUUUUUUAGAGGUUGAAGGUAAAAUUGCAAAAAUUGGCGACUUUGAAGGGUUUUGCACGAAACCCUAAUAUAAAUGACUUGUUGUAUUUCAUGAUAAUUAAUCAAAUGAAUUAAAAUAUCCCCUAAUAAUAUUGAUAUAUCAUGGUUUUUACGGUUAUUUAACCAUGAUAUAGGUAUUAUUAUUAGAGUAUUUUUGUUAUUUCUAGAGUCUUUUCUAGUGUUUUUCAGGUUUAUGCAUGCACAGGACCAAUUUGGAGAUUAUGGAUAAUUCUAGAGCAAAAACGAGAUGUUAUGAUGAUACAAGAGCAGUCCGGAGACCAAUCUUGGUGUAUGUGUCGAUCGACACCAAUAUCUAACGGCAAUUCGAUCUCGUAUGUUUUUGAAGUUUUGAAUAUUUGCAGAAUCAUCCCAAAAUUUUUCUCUAUUUUCAAAGAAGUCUCUACACGUUUUAAGACAAUAUAAAUAUGGGAAAGUUACCAGAUUAACCCAAAUUAUGAGUUUAAUUACUAGAAUGUCUCAAAAAAUUUGGGGGUUAAAUGAGUUAUUUUCAUGACCAUAAUACCUUUUCUCUCUUUGUUAGGAAUAAAAAAAGUCAAAAUUACCCUUAAAUAUAUUUUAAAAACGUGGAGAAAAAAUAUUUGAAAAAUCUGCUGGGUUAGUUGUGACAAGUUUAUUUUCCAUGACAGAUUUAUUUUUCUAUGACAGAUUUUUUGCAUCAGAUUUUUUUUUCUCCUAUAGACUUACUUAAAAUAGGUUACGACAAAUAUUUAAUUUGUAGCAGAUUUUUUUGUCACGCCAGACUUAUUUUAUGAUGACACCACAGACUUUUGUAAUUUUGACAGAUUUAUUAAAAUGUGUGGCAAUAUUAUUGUUUUAGUGGCGUCAGACUUAUAUUUUUCGGUAAAAAUCUGUCAUAAUGUAGCUAAUAAAAAAAUAAUUACUAGUUUGACUUAUUAGUGAUAACAGAUUUAUUUUAUGUUAUGACAAUUUUUUUUCCUAACAAAAAAUCUGGAGUGUGAUAGCAGAUUUGUUAUAUAAAAAUAUAAAUUGCUAGAAUGACAUAUACUCACAACCGAAAUGUUUUAUGUUAUGACAAAUUUUUUUUAUAUUACAACAGAAUUCAGAUAGGCUAUAAAAAAAUAUGUCGUAUGAUGGCAGUUUUAUUGAUGAAAAUAGAAUUUUAAUCUGCACAAUAAGGUAAUAAGAGACAUAUUCUUAUCUCGACAGACUUAUUUAUAAUAGAUGGCUCAUGUGUGGCUGUCUCCUUGUUAAUAUAUGAUAAAGAUUAUUUUUUUCUUUUGUUAUAUAUUUUGUUCUUUUUAAUAUAUAUAUAUAUAUAAUAUAUAUAUAUUUGUUUUUUUCGUUUUAUAUUUUUUUUUCGUUUUUUUUUAUUUAUUUUUUUUUUUUUUCAUUUUAUAUUUUUUUGUCAUUUUGUAUUUUUUUCUAAUUUUCUAUUUAAUUUAGUUAUUAUAUGUUAAUUAUUUUAUUUUAAUUGAAUUGAAAAUAAAAUAGGUAUUUGUCUUUUUUUUCGUUUUUUAUUUUUUAAUGUUUUUUCAAUUUAUAUAUAUUUUGUUUGUUUUGUAUUUUUUUUUGUUUUUUUCUCAAUUUUCUUUUUUUCGUUAUAUAAUUUUUGUUUUUGUAUUUUUUAAUUUUCUAUUUAAUUUAAUUAUUAUAUGUUAAUUAUAUUAUUUAAAUAGAAUUGAAAAUAAAAUGGUAUUUGGUCUUUUAACACAAAAAUUGUGUUAUUCUAGUAAACCACAAUAUUUGGGUGUUAAUCUAGUUAUUUUUCUCUAGAUUUGGGUCAAACUAGGUAAUUUUCAGUAUAAAUAUAUUCUUAAGGUUAUUGUUUAGACCUAAGCUUUAUUUUUAUUUUGUUCUUGGACGUAAACCCUGUGGAGCUCCCUCCAGAAAAGAUGCUUCAACACUCUAUUCUCUUCUUGUUUUCUUACAAGAUUCCUACUUUAAAACAUGUUUUGUUCUUCGAUAAUCAUGUCUGAGUAGUCCUUGUUUGGUUUAGGGAUUCUCAAUAGGGAUUUGGAUGAAUUAGUAGAUCGAUAACCUGUUAGUAAAAUAAAUCUCUAGAGUUCUUCAUCUUUGAUUGUUCUUAAUGCUAGUUCUAGAGUAAUUAACUAUAACUUGAUCUUAGGAUAAUAGGUUAGACACGAGAGUGCGCUUAUUACUAGAACUAUCUUAGGUGGGCAGAAGUAGUUAGAUACAGACGAGAGUUGGUCUAGAUACUUUUGUGAACAUAUCGAACCUGAUCUUAAUGCUUUCUUAGUUUUAGGGAUUUAAUUUACAGACGAGAGUUGGAAUUUCUGCUAUUAAGCAUAGAUAGUCAAUUCAGACGAGAGUUGGUUGAUUAUAGUUUUUUUAUUUGAGUUCUAAGAACGGUUCUUUAAUAAUUCCAAUAAUUCCUAACUAAUUGCUAGAUCUACUAUUCUAAUAUUUCCUGAGAAAUCCCUUAGCCUAACGUUUCAUCUAUCUGUUUUACAACUUAUUUUUAAAGGUUUUUUUUUGUAUUUUAAUUUACUUAAUUUUCUGUUUAGCUUAAUUCAAAACAUGUUAGUCUAUUGUGUGAACAACGAGAGCUUUGUGGAAUUCGACCCUAAAAUGCUAUACAUGAUCUCUUUAUUUGACAGAGUAGUCUUAGGUUAAUUUGACUCAUAUCAAAUAUAAAUCUACAAUAUUUAAAAACGCAACUCAUCCAAAAAUAUGAUGAUUACAACAAAAUAUAAAUCAGAACUACUACCAAAAAAAUAUAUAUAUAAAUCAGAACUUUGUAUUUUUUUUUCCGAAUAACUAUUUAUACUACUUCCUAACCACUCGGUAUUUGGUCUACCUGAUACAAAUGUUUUCCUUGUUUAUGCGAAUAGCUUUCAACAUUACUUGAAAUGCCCUGACCAUCACACCUCUCUUAAUGGGUCCACGUCCUCUCUCGGCCGGUCCGCUACGUCCAGGAGGCUUUAAAGACUUGUUUACCGUUCCUACAAAUUACCACAUGAUCUUUUCUUGUGUUUUGUCCUCACUCACACAGUUCUGACAAUCACUUCCGAGAAGGUCACCCAUCCUGAAAUUGCACGCUUAACUGUGGAGUUCUCUCAGGGCAGUUGACCGAAAAGAUAAGUGCACUUUGGUGACAUAGGUGGUCAAAUCAACUCUUUUAACACCACAUUCUUGAAACCAGGGUGUUACAUUACUUGAAAGGAAUCAUGGCCACAUUGAUAUAGUAAUUUCGAUUGGAAAAGUUACCCAUUAACUUGUUAAUCGGUUAGUGGGGAUGUCGUACAUGCAAAACGGUUCAUUAGAGAUUCGAAUGUUGCACGGAGAACUGAAAUGUGGAAUCAUUGUUUGUGGGAGCUGUUCAUCAUAAUUGUAUAUGUUGUAGGUAAUUGAUUAUCAUCGUAAUAGGAUAAGCUCAAAUAUCUAUAAUGAUAAUGUAAUAGAUGGUUAAAAAAAAAUUUGGUAUUUGUUAUGAGAAAAAGAAAAAGAUAUAUUAAAAAUCUUGUAAAUAAAAGGAGACUUUUCUUAUGAGAAACCUCAAUGAUACAGAUUUGAAUUUUCUUUGAAAUUUGAUGAAAAUUUCAUAAGAUAAAAAUGAGCUCUGUUUUUACUAGUAAUUUCUCAAACAAAUAUGUUGUAAUGUUAUAUUGCUCGAACUCAAGAAAAUUUGGUUUAUAGCAUACUUUUUCAUCUUUUUAAAAGUAAUAUAAAAAAUUAGGUAACUCGUAAGAUUUCGCCUCUGAUAUUAGCUGUAUCGUAAUCAUCAAAUAAACGUAACCGUAUUUAACCGUAACCGUUGUAACUGUAACCAUAUUUAACCGUAUAUAUAAUGGUUAAAGUUACGGUUAAAAAAGUUUAUAAUCGUAACCGGUGAUUAAUUAACCGUAAUCGUAAUAACCGUAACCGUGGUCAUACCUAGAAAAUUGUAGAGAGAUAAUUUUAAUUUGAUACACCCUCACUUUUUCAAAGAAUGAUAUUUUGAGUUUUACACACAAUUUAAGAAAAAGUAAUUUAAAAUUUUUUUAAUUAUUAUUUUGUUAGUUUAAUAAUAUUAGUACUUCUCACCUUUAUCUAUUAGUCGCAAACAAAAACAAUGAUGAUGUUUUUACAAAACAUCAAUCUUGGCUGAACAAGUAAAAAACUCAAAACAUCAAAUAACUAGGAACAGAGGGAGUAUAGUUUUUAUUAUUUUAAACUGUUUUUGUUUUUGUCUAAAAAAAAACUUGUUUUUGUUAUUAUGUACCGCUUUUGAUAAAUUUAUCUUGAUUGGUAACAACAGCUUUGUACAGCUUUAAAUUUUGUGACCAAUCAUAGCCAUUAUAAAUGUUGGAGAUUUGGCAUCUCUAUAUCAAAACUCGAUGUAAGUAUUUUCACAUCUUUUCUAUAAAUUUUAGAUUUUUGAUAGAGACAUUGAUUUUAGUCACUGCUUCCUUGUGUUUCCCAUUUCUGAUUUGCAUCAUAGAUUCGGAUUUCAGUUGCUAAUUUGCUUCUUUUAGAUUCAGAAUUUCAACAUUUCAUGACUUGUUCAAAAAAUCAUGUCUUUGGAUAUAAAUGCUGGAGAAGUUAGUUACCAUGUUUGUAUUGAAACUUGAUACUGCUCUUUUUCUUUUUUCUUUGGACGAAGCUUCCUUUGUCUAUUGUAGGACCAAUUAUUGACGUCUGCGAGGAAAUAGCUAGGAAUUGGGUACAUGAAAGAAAACAAGAAGCUAAAACCUCUAUUUUUGAUAGUAUAGUUUCUUUGUUAAUAUAUAUUCAUGACUUAUAUUUAGGAAAUAAAACUAUAAAUGUUGUAGAAUUGGCAUGUAUAUAUGUAUUAAAACUCGAUGCUUAUUGCUUGCUUUAUACGUUUGAUUUUUUCUAGUUAUCUGUUUUCAUAUUUUAGAUUUUCUUCAACUUUAUCUGUUAUUGCAUUCUAUACCAAAGCUAAUCCUCUUGUUUGCUAGUACAGUUUCAAAAUAUUCUCACUUUCUCGGUCAAUGGAGUCAACCUUCUUUGUUUAGUAUAAGUCUGUUUUGCAACUUCUUCAUCCGCAUAGCUCUCUUUAAAGCUCUCUGAUAUUAUUAAUCCUCUCUCCAAUAAUAUAUACUAACUAAUGGAUUCUUCUUCUUCUUUUAUCCUUACCACUGUUGCUGCUGCAAUAGGCUUCUUCACGCUUCUUAGAAAUCUCAGAUGCCAUCAAGAAGAUGACAAAGAAAAUAAUUCUUCUUCUUCUACUUCAUCACCUCCGUCUUCUUCAUCGUCUUUGUCUCCUCCAUCGUCUUUGGAUCGCAUCUGGACACACCAUGUGUUUCCAAGUUUUCGAGGGGAAUAUGUCCGUAGAGACUUUCUUAGUCACAUUCAGAUGGAGUUUCAAAGAAUGGGAAUCACACCAUUCAUUGAUAAUGAGAUCGAGAGAGGACAAUCCAUCGGUCCCGAACUCAUUCGAGCAAUUAGAGAAUCCAAGAUCGCAAUUAUCUUGCUCUCAAGAAACUACGCUUCUUCGAGCUGGUGUCUUGACGAAUUGGCGGAGAUUAUGAAGUGCAGGGACGAAUUGGGUCAAACAGUUUUGGCUGUUUUCUAUAAAGUGGAUCCAUCUGAUGUAAAGAAGCUGACCGGAGAUUUUGGAAAAGUCUUCAAAAAAACAUGUGCCGGUAAAACAAAAGAGCACGUUGGGAGAUGGAGACAAGCUUUGGCAAAUGUCGCCACAAUCGCCGGUUACCAUUCGACCAACUGGUUCGUUGUCUUCCUAACAAACAUCUAACUGUAUAUAUUAAUAGCUUCUUCAAAUCACAGAAACUCAUAGUUUUUUUAAAUGUGUGUGACUUCUCCAUAAUUGUUUAAUGGAUGUAGUGAUCUUCUUUGUUGUUAGGGAUAAUGAAGCGGCCAUGAUUAAAAAAAUCGCUACUGAUAUUUCGAACUUGUUGAAUAAUUCUUCAUCAUCAAGUGAUUUCGAUGGGUUGGUUGGAAUGAGAGAACAUUUAGAGAAGAUGGAACCGUUAUUAUGUUUAGACUCAGAUGAAGUGAGGAUGAUUGGGAUUUGGGGUCCUUCUGGGAUUGGGAAGACGACCAUCGCCAGAGUUAUAUACAACAAACUCUCCGGCAGUUUUCAACUGAGUGUCUUUAUGGAAUCUAUCGAAGCAAAAUAUACAAGACCAUGUUCCGAUGACUAUAGUGCCAAGUUGCAGUUACAACAGCAGUUUAUGUCUCAAAUAACCAACCAGAGUGAUAUGAAGAUUUCUCAUUUAGGUGUUGUUCAAGAUAGGCUAAAAGACAAGAAAGUUCUUGUUGUUCUUGAUGGUGUGGACAAGUCAAUGCAACUAGAUGCCAUGGUGAAAGAAACUUGGUGGUUUGGUCCUGGGAGUCGGAUUAUUAUUACAACGCAAGAUCGAAAGCUUUUCAGGUCACAUGGGAUUAACCAUAUUUACAAGAUUGAUUUUCCAUCAACUGAAGAGGCCCUUCAAAUCUUGUGCACAUAUGCUUUUGGUCAAAACUCCCCUAAUGUCGUUUUGAAGAACUUGCUCAGGAAGUUACACAACUUGCUGGUGAACUUCCUUUGGGUCUUAGGGUUAUAGGUUCUUAUUUUCGGGGAAUGUCUAAGAUGGAGUGGAUGAAAGCACUACCAAGGUUAAGGAAUAGCCUUGAUGCUAAUAUUCUUAGCAUUUUGAAGUUCAGCUAUGAUGCCUUAGAUGAUGAAGACAAAUAUUUGUUUCUUCAUAUAGCAUGCUUCUUCAAUCAUGAAGAGAUUGAGAAAGUGGAAGAUUAUCUCGCAGAGACGUUCUUGGAUGUGAGUCAUCGGCUUAAUGUCUUAGCUGAGAAAUCUCUCAUAUCUUUGAAUAGGGGAUAUAUAAACAUGCAUGAUUUGCUAGUCAAACUAGGUAGAGAUAUUGUCCGUAAACAGUCUAUUCGUGAGCCUGGACAACGCCUAUUUUUGGUUGAUGCACGAGAAAUUUGUGAAGUACUCAAUCUUGAUGCGAACGUAAGUUUUGAAAUUUCUCUCCACAAAUCGUGUUGAUUUAAUAAGUGACCAUUUCAUAUGAUUUAUGUUCUGUUUUUCAGGGUAGUAGAAGUCUUAUGGGCAUAAAUUUCAACUUUGGUGAGGAUAGGAUCAAGGAAAAGUUACAUAUAAGUGAGAGAGCCUUUCAAGGAAUGUCUAAUCUCCAAUUCUUAAGAGUCAAAGGGAAUAACAAUACAAUACAUCUACCGCACGGUUUAGAGUAUAUAUCUCGUAAACUUCGAUUACUACACUGGACUUAUUUUCCGAUGACAUGUUUGCCUCCUAUUUUCAACACGGAGUUUCUGGUUGAACUAGACAUGUCUUACAGCAAACUUGAGAAGUUGUGGGAAGGAAUUAAAGUAAGUAAUUUUGAUUUAUUUCUUUUAGAUAUUUUAUUAAUUUCAAAUUAAUAAUUUAUCUUUUGUACAAUUUUAUUUUAAUUAAUUACCAAUAGCAUGGAAGUCUGUUUUCUAAUUAAGUGUAUAUACAUGUUCUUAUUAUUUGUAUGUAUAGCCGCUUCCAAAUCUCAAGCGGAUGGAUUUGAGUUCGUCUCUCCUCUUAAAGGAGCUUCCUGAUCUCUAUUGGAAAUCUCAUCAAUCUAAAAGAAUUGGAUCUUAGCAGUUUAUCAUGUCUAGUGGAGCUCCCUUCCUCUAUUGGAAAUCUCAUCAAUCUAAAAGAAUUGGAUCUUAGCAGUUUAUCAUGUCUAGUGGAGCUCCCUUCCUCUAUUGGGAAUCUCAUCAAUCUAAAAGAAUUGGAUCUUAGCAGUUUAUCAUGUCUAGUGGAGCUCCCUUUCUCGAUUGGAAAUGCCACCAACCUUGAGGUUUUAAACCUUCGCCAAUGCUCAAGUCUGGUAAAGCUCCCCUUUUCUAUUGGAAACCUUCAGAAGUUGCAAACUUUGACCUUACGAGGAUGCUCUAAGCUAGAAGAUCUUCCAGCCAACAUCAAAUUGGGAUCUCUCGGCGAACUUGAUCUCACUGAUUGCUUGCUGUUGA
This 12634-nucleotide long non-coding RNA is filed under the name Arabidopsis lyrata. RNAcentral describes it as "long non-coding RNA (ALYR_LNC000256)". The record is from RNAcentral. Lineage: Eukaryota; Viridiplantae; Streptophyta; Magnoliopsida; Brassicales; Brassicaceae.